UACAGAGGGUGCAAGCGUUAAUCGGAUUUACUGGGCGUAAAGCGUGCGUAGGCGGUUCAUUAAGUCGGUUGUGAAAUCCCUGGGCUUAACCUGGGAACUGCAGUCGAUACUGGUGGACUAGAGUACGGUAGAGGGUGGCGGAACUCCGGGUGUAGCGGUGAAAUGCGUAGAUAUCCGGAAGAACACCGAUGGCGAAGGCAGCCC
RNAcentral lists this ribosomal RNA (204 nucleotides) under uncultured bacterium. Its description in RNAcentral is "partial 16S ribosomal RNA". It matches the Rfam family "Bacterial small subunit ribosomal RNA", at positions 524 to 727 of the family's 1533-position model. The record is from RNAcentral.